UAGUUAUCUUUCUUGGUGUUGCUUC
RNAcentral lists this non-coding RNA (25 nucleotides) under Rattus norvegicus (Norway rat). Lineage: Eukaryota; Metazoa; Chordata; Mammalia; Rodentia; Muridae. The record is from RNAcentral.